GGUACUUGUGCGUUAUUCCUAUGAACGUUAUUUCUAUAACUAUCAUUAACAGCUUUUGGAUUGUGAAAUUAGUUGGUUCUAACUACUGCUAGUCUGGGUACGGGUUUGCUAAUGAACAAUUUUCAUUUUAGUUAUAUUUAGUGGAAGGAGCAGAUGCAACCGAGGAUAUCAAAUCGACAGCUGAAGUCACCCAUUGGUUAUCUGAAGGAUUGCAGCAUCACCUUCCACCUGAUGUUGAGCCAAACUUGACGAAACUUGGACUAGCAGGCCAUAGCCGUGGGGGAAAAGUUGCAUUUUCGCUAGCUCUUGGUAGACUUGCUAGUGACCUGAAAUUUUCAGCGUUGAUCGGUGUUGAUCCUGUGGAUGGAAUGGAGAAAGGAAAGCAAACUCCGCCAUCAGUUCUCACCUACGUUCCGCGUUCCUUCAUUAAUCUUGAUAUGCCUGUGAUGGUAAUUGGCUCGGGUUUGGGAGAAGUUAAAAAGAAUCCUCUGUUCCCUGCUUGUGCUCCUAAAGGGGUGAAUCAUCGCGAUUUCUACAACGAAUGUUGCAAGCCAGCUUGUUACUUUGUUGCAAAGGAUUAUGGACAUAAUGAUAUGUUAGAUGAGGAGACCAAAGGGAUUCGAGGCAAGGCUACUUAUUGUUUGUGCAAGAAAGGGAAAUCUAGAGAGCCCAUGAGGAGAUUUGUUGGAGGGGUUUUGGUUGCAUUUUUGGAAGCUUAUUUGGAAGGUAAUUCCAGCCACUUGAUAGCUAUUAGAGAUGGCCAUGUUGCACUGCCUGUAGAGCUCCAAGAU
Molecule: unclassified non-coding RNA, 791 nt
Filed under: Hevea brasiliensis (rubber tree)
Lineage: Eukaryota; Viridiplantae; Streptophyta; Magnoliopsida; Malpighiales; Euphorbiaceae
Source: RNAcentral